This 253-nucleotide ribosomal RNA is filed under the name uncultured bacterium. Its description in RNAcentral is "partial 16S ribosomal RNA". It matches the Rfam family "Bacterial small subunit ribosomal RNA", at positions 524 to 776 of the family's 1533-position model. The record is from RNAcentral.
UACAGAGGGUGCAAGCGUUGUUCGGAAUUAUUGGGCGUAAAGGGCGCGUAGGCGGUGCCACAAGUCACCUGUGAAAUCUCCGGGCUUAACUCGGAGCCUGCAGGCGAAACUGUGGUGCUGGAGUGUGGGAGAGGUGCGUGGAAUUCCCGGUGUAGCGGUGAAAUGCGUAGAUAUCGGGAAGAACACCCGUGGCGAAGGCGGCUCUCUGGGACGGUACCGACGCUGAGACGCGAAAGCGUGGGGAGCGAACAGG